Molecule: ribosomal RNA, 497 nt
Filed under: uncultured bacterium
Lineage: Bacteria
Description: partial 16S ribosomal RNA
Rfam family: Bacterial small subunit ribosomal RNA
Source: RNAcentral
GACGAACGCUGGCGGCGUGCCUAAUACAUGCAAGUUGAGCGCUGAAGGUUGGUCCUUGUACCAACUGGAUGAGCAGCGAACGGGUGAGUAACGCGUGGGGAAUCUGCCUUUGAGCGGGGGACAACAUUUGGAAACGAAUGCUAAUACCGCAUAAAAACUUUAAACACAAGUUUUAAGUUUGAAAGAUGCAAUUGCAUCACUCAAAGAUGAUCCCGCGUUGUAUUAGCUAGUUGGUGAGGUAAAGGCUCACCAAGGCGAUGAUACAUAGCCGACCUGAGAGGGUGAUCGGCCACAUUGGGACUGAGACACGGCCCAAACUCCUACGGGAGGCAGCAGUAGGGAAUCUUCGGCAAUGGACGAAAGUCUGAACGAGCAACGCCGCGGGAGUGAAGAAGGUUUUCGGAUCGUAAAACUCUGUUGGUAGAGAAGAACGUUGGUGAGAGUGGAAAGCUCAUCAAGUGACGGUAACUACCCAGAAAGGGACGGCUAACUACGUG